CGAACGCUGGCGGCGCGCUUAACACAUGCACGUCGAGCGAUGAAAUUUCGACAGAUCCCUUCGGGGUGAAGAUGAAAUGGAUUAGCGGCGGACGGGUGAGUAACACGUGAGUAACCUGCCUUUGACAUUGGGAUAGCCUCGGGAAACUGGGAUUAAUACCAAAUGACACUAACUGAUCACAUGAUCAAUUAGUCAAAGAAAUUCGGUCAAAGAUGGACUCGCGGCUGAUUAGCUAGUUGGUGAGGUAACGGCCCACCAAGGCGACGAUCAGUAGCCGGCCUGAGAGGGUGAUCGGCCACAUUGGAACUGAGACACGGUCCAAACUCCUACGGGAGGCAGCAGUGGGGAAUAUUGCACAAUGGGGGAAACCCUGAUGCAGCGACGCCGCGUGAGCGAAGAAGGACUUAGGGUCGUAAAGCUCUUUUAUGAGGGAAGAUAAUGACGGUACCUCAAGAAAAAGCCCCGGCUAACUACGUG
This 477-nucleotide ribosomal RNA is filed under the name uncultured bacterium. RNAcentral's name for it is "partial 16S ribosomal RNA". It matches the Rfam family "Bacterial small subunit ribosomal RNA", at positions 30 to 507 of the family's 1533-position model. The record is from RNAcentral.